This 506-nucleotide ribosomal RNA is filed under the name uncultured bacterium. RNAcentral describes it as "partial 16S ribosomal RNA". It matches the Rfam family "Bacterial small subunit ribosomal RNA", at positions 30 to 523 of the family's 1533-position model. The record is from RNAcentral.
AUUGAACGCUGGCGGCGUGCCUAACACAUGCAAGUCGAACGGCAGCACGGCUGUAGCAAUACAGUGGGUGGCAAGUGGCGAACGGGUGAGUAACGCGUAGGAAUCUGCCUUAAAGUGGGGGACAACUCGGGGAAACUCGAGCUAAUACCGCAUAAUAUCUACGGAUUAAAGCUGGGGAUCGCAAGACCUAGCGCUUUAAGAGGAGCCUGCGUUGGAUUAGCUAGUUGGUGGGGUAAAGGCCUUCCAAGGCGACGAUCCAUAGCUGGUCUGAGAGGAUGAUCAGCCACACUGGAACUGAGACACGGUCCAGACUCCUACGGGAGGCAGCAGUGGGGAAUAUUGGACAAUGGGGGAAACCCUGAUCCAGCAACGCCGCGUGUGUGAAGAAGGCCUUCGGGUUGUAAAGCACUUUCGGUUAGGACAAAGAAUAUUUGGGGAAUAUCCAGAUAUUUUGAUGUUAUCAACAAAAGAAGCACCGGCAAACUCUGUGCCAGCAGCCGCGGUAA